This 241-nucleotide unclassified non-coding RNA is filed under the name Henningsomyces sp. Its description in RNAcentral is "partial contains 5.8S ribosomal RNA, internal transcribed spacer 2, and large subunit ribosomal RNA". The stretch from base 1 to 52 matches the Rfam family "5.8S ribosomal RNA", at positions 103 to 154 of the family's 154-position model. The record is from RNAcentral. Lineage: Eukaryota; Fungi; Basidiomycota; Agaricomycetes; Agaricales; Schizophyllaceae.
AACGCACAUUGCGCCCUCUGGUAUUCCGGAGGGCAUGCCUGUUCGAGCGUCAUUACACCACUCAAGCCUCGCUUGGUGUUGGGCGUCGCGGUCACACGCGCGCCUCAAUAGCACCGGCCGGUCACCCGAACUCCGAGCGCAGAAGCAAAACACUUUCGCUCACGAGCCGAGGGGAAUCGCGCCGUUAAAACCUCCAUCAAAGGUUGACCUCGGAUCAGGUAGGGAUACCCGCUGAACUUAA